Molecule: ribosomal RNA, 890 nt
Filed under: uncultured Pleosporales
Lineage: Eukaryota; Fungi; Ascomycota; Dothideomycetes; Pleosporales
Description: SSU rRNA
Rfam family: Eukaryotic small subunit ribosomal RNA
Source: RNAcentral
GCUCUUUGGUGAUUCAUGAUAACUUAACGGAUCGCAUGGCCUUGCGCCGGCGACGGUUCAUUCAAAUUUCUGCCCUAUCAACUUUCGAUGGUAAGGUAUUGGCUUACCAUGGUUUCAACGGGUAACGGGGAAUUAGGGUUCGAUUCCGGAGAGGGAGCCUGAGAAACGGCUACCACAUCCAAGGAAGGCAGCAGGCGCGCAAAUUACCCAAUCCCGACACGGGGAGGUAGUGACAAUAAAUACUGAUACAGGGCUCUUUUGGGUCUUGUAAUCGGAAUGAGUACAAUUUAAACCCCUUAACGAGGAACAAUUGGAGGGCAAGUCUGGUGCCAGCAGCCGCGGUAAUUCCAGCUCCAAUAGCGUAUAUUAAAGUUGUUGCAGUUAAAAAGCUCGUAGUUGAACCUUGGGCCUGGCUGGCCGGUCCGCCUCACCGCGUGUACUGGUCCGGCCGGGCCUUUCCUUCUGGAGAGCCCCAUGCCCUUCACUGGGCGUGCGGGGGAACCAGGACUUUUACUUUGAAAAAAUUAGAGUGUUCAAAGCAGGCCUUUGCUCGAAUACGUUAGCAUGGAAUAAUAGAAUAGGACGUGCGGUCCUAUUUUGUUGGUUUCUAGGACCGCCGCAAUGAUUAAUAGGGAUAGUCGGGGGCAUCAGUAUUCAAUUGUCAGAGGUGAAAUUCUUGGAUUUAUUGAAGACUAACUACUGCGAAAGCAUUUGCCAAGGAUGUUUUCAUUAAUCAGUGAACGAAAGUUAGGGGAUCGAAGACGAUCAGAUACCGUCGUAGUCUUAACCGUAAACUAUGCCGACUAGGGAUCGGGCGAUGUUUCUAUCUUGACUCGCUCGGCACCUUACGAGAAAUCAAAGUUUUUGGGUUCUGGGGGGAGUAUGGUCGC